CAAUAGCGUAUAUUAAAGUUGUUGCAGUUAAAAAGCUCGUAGUUGGAUUUCUGGUGGGAGCGAUCGGUCUGGCGCUUAGCGCGAGUACUUGCAUCGUCUCCGGCCAUCCUUGGGGAAAGUCUGUCUGGCAUUAAGUUGUCGGGCAGAGGAUCCUCAUCGUUUACUGUGAAAAAAUAGAGUGUUCAAAGCAGGCUUAUGCCGUUGAAUAUAUUAGCAUGGAAUAAUAAGAUAGGACUUUGGUACUAUUUUGUUGGUUUGCGCACCAAAGUAAUGAUUAAUAGGGACAGUUGGGGGUAUUCGUAUUCCGUUGUCAGAGGUGAAAUUCUUGGAUUUACGGAAGACGAACUACUGCGAAAGCAUUUACCAAGGAUGUUUUCAUUAA
This 382-nucleotide ribosomal RNA is filed under the name uncultured eukaryote. Its description in RNAcentral is "partial 18S ribosomal RNA". It matches the Rfam family "Eukaryotic small subunit ribosomal RNA", at positions 592 to 976 of the family's 1831-position model. The record is from RNAcentral.